AAACAGUUCUAUGUGUGUAUAUUGAAAUCGGAACGAUACAGAGAAAAUUAGCAUUGCCUCUGCGCAAGAAUGACACGCAAAAUCGUGAAGCGUUCCACAUUUUU
RNAcentral lists this small nuclear RNA (104 nucleotides) under Oryctes borbonicus. The record is from RNAcentral. Lineage: Eukaryota; Metazoa; Arthropoda; Insecta; Coleoptera; Scarabaeidae.